GAGACGAAACAAGUGAUGUGGAGUAAAACUUAUAAAAGCGACCUCAGUUCGGAUUGAAGGCUGAAAUUCGCCUUCAUGAAGUCGGAAUUGCUAGUAAUGGCAGGUCAGCAUACUGCCGUGAAUACGUUCCCGGGCCUUGUACACACCGCCCGUCACACCAUGAGAGUUGGAGAUACCCGAAGCCUAUGAGCUAACUUUUAGAGGCAGUAGUCGAAGGUAGAAUCAAUGAUUGGGGUGAAGUCGUAACAAGGUAGC
RNAcentral lists this ribosomal RNA (255 nucleotides) under uncultured bacterium. RNAcentral describes it as "partial 16S ribosomal RNA". It matches the Rfam family "Bacterial small subunit ribosomal RNA", at positions 1246 to 1500 of the family's 1533-position model. The record is from RNAcentral.